Molecule: long non-coding RNA, 405 nt
Filed under: Trifolium pratense (red clover)
Lineage: Eukaryota; Viridiplantae; Streptophyta; Magnoliopsida; Fabales; Fabaceae
Description: long non-coding RNA (TPRA_LNC012193)
Source: RNAcentral
GAGUAGUAAAAAAGUAAAAAUAUUUAUAUAUAUCUUGGCUUCUUGAGAUUCAAAUCCUAUAAAAUAAAACUGAAAAGGACUGAACAAGUUUGUAAGGGAGACAUGAUUUGACAUAUGGUAAAAAUAUGCAUAUGAAAUUGGUGGGUAAGGUUGGUGAUGAAAUGAGUUGUGAAGUACCAAAGGUAGAAAAGUAGAGAAGCGCUUCUGCACCUGCUCCUACAAUUUUGCAUUUUCAGCUGGAGCAAGUUGAGCAGCUAAUAAGGUUUUGGUUUGGUUUUGGUUUUUGACACACAAUAAUAACAUAGUGACAUAGUGUAAUUAAUGUACACUUGUCAAGAAUGCAACAUGAUGCAAGAAAAAAACAAUGGAUAUGAUAUAUGAUAUACUAUCAUAUAGUAAAAAAAA